AGCGAACAUUGGCGGUAGGCUUAACACAUGCAAGUCGAGCGAGGCGUAAUAGUCGAGCGGCGAACGGGUGAGUAAUACAUGGAAAUCUACCCUGAAGUGGGGGAUAACGUCCAGAAAUGGACGCUAAUACCGCAUAAUCCAUAUUGGGAAAGCGUUGCAGCGCUUUAGGAUGAGUCCAUGGCUGAUUAGCUUGUUGGUGAGGUAACGGCUCACCAAGGCGACGAUCAGUAGCUGGUCUGAGAGGAUGACCAGCCACACUGGAACUGAGACACGGUCCAGACCCCUACGGGAGGCAGCAGUGGGGAAUCUUGCGCAAUGGGGGCAACCCUGACGCAGCCAUACCGCGUGAGUGAUGAAGGUCUUCGGAUUGUAAAGCUCUUUCGGCGGGGACGACGAUGACGGUACCCGCAAAAGAAGUCACGGCUAACUUCGUGCCAGCAGCCGCAGUAA
Molecule: ribosomal RNA, 450 nt
Filed under: uncultured bacterium
Lineage: Bacteria
Description: partial 16S ribosomal RNA
Rfam family: Bacterial small subunit ribosomal RNA
Source: RNAcentral